Molecule: ribosomal RNA, 375 nt
Filed under: Paracanthurus hepatus (palette surgeonfish)
Lineage: Eukaryota; Metazoa; Chordata; Actinopteri; Acanthuriformes; Acanthuridae
Description: partial 12S ribosomal RNA
Rfam family: Bacterial small subunit ribosomal RNA
Source: RNAcentral
CAUCGAUGGCAUCUUACAACUACCAUCCGCCCGGGUACUACGAGCAUUAGCUUAAAACCCAAAGGACUUGGCGGUGCUUUAGACCCACCUAGAGGAGCCUGUUCUAAAACCGAUAACCCCCGUUAAACCUCACCCUUCCUUGUUUUUCCCGCCUAUAUACCACCGUCGUCAGCUUACCCUGUGAAGGCUUAAAUAGUAAGCAAAAUUGGCACAGCCCAAAACGUCAGGUCGAGGUGUAGCGUAUGGAGGGGGAAGAAAUGGGCUACAUUCCCUAAUCUAGCGCAUACGGACAACACGCUGAAACACGUAUUCGAAGGAGGAUUUAGCAGUAAGCAGAAAAUAGAGUGUUCUGCUGAAACUGGCCCUGAAGCGCGC